CUGUGUAGGAUAGACCUCUGAACAGUACGCAACGAACGCGAUCGUAAUCCCUUGUUGAGUGGCCAUCCUGUAAGCUGCUGGAUUAGGAACCCAGUGGUAUUAUCUCAGCCACAGAUUUUCUGGUUGUAAUGGGCCAGUUUUGAAACUCGGGGAACAUCUGUGACUUUCUUUCUUAACGCAGAGGAAGGUUAUGGCAAUAACAGGUCUGUGAUGCCCUUAGAUGUCCAGGGCUGCACACGUACUACAUUGAUCAACUCAGUAGGCGUCGUGUUUUCUCCAAUAACGUAUCUAGUGGACUUGGUGUCGGGUGCGUGGCCUCGGUCGUGUACUUUGAUUACUGUCACUUUAAACACUGGUCGUUAGACUCGUGCAAUCCAAUAGAAGAGGUGACUAAGUUUCCCAGUACCGUGUUCGCCUCCCGUGUCAGUAGGGCCCCUCGCAUAUACCAGUCGAAGUGGGCCCUUUGUGCUUUUUUCAAAUCU
This 482-nucleotide ribosomal RNA is filed under the name Globigerina bulloides. Its description in RNAcentral is "partial 18S ribosomal RNA". The stretch from base 1 to 245 matches the Rfam family "Eukaryotic small subunit ribosomal RNA", at positions 1311 to 1501 of the family's 1831-position model. The record is from RNAcentral. Lineage: Eukaryota; Foraminifera; Rotaliida; Globigerinidae.